GUGGGGAAUCUUGCGCAAUGGGCGAAAGCCUGACGCAGCCAUGCCGCGUGAAUGAUGAAGGUCUUAGGAUUGUAAAAUUCUUUCACCGGGGACGAUAAUGACGGUACCCGGAGAAGAAGCUCCGGCUAACUUCGUGCCAGCAGCCGCGGUAAUACGAAGGGGGCUAGCGUUGCUCGGAAUUACUGGGCGUAAAGGGCGCGUAGGCGGACAGCUUAGUCAGAGGUGAAAGCCCAGGGCUCAACCUUGGAAUUGCCUUUGAUACUGGCUGUCUUGAGUUUGGGAGAGGUGAGUGGAACUCCGAGUGUAGAGGUGAAAUUCGUAGAUAUUCGGAAGAACACCAGUGGCGAAGGCGACUCACUGGCCCAAUACUGACGCUGAGGCGCGAAAGCGUGGGGAACAAACAGGAUUAGAUACCCUAGUAGUCC
Molecule: ribosomal RNA, 425 nt
Filed under: uncultured bacterium
Lineage: Bacteria
Description: partial 16S ribosomal RNA
Rfam family: Bacterial small subunit ribosomal RNA
Source: RNAcentral